This 252-nucleotide ribosomal RNA is filed under the name uncultured bacterium. Its description in RNAcentral is "partial 16S ribosomal RNA". It matches the Rfam family "Bacterial small subunit ribosomal RNA", at positions 524 to 776 of the family's 1533-position model. The record is from RNAcentral.
UACGUAGGUGGCGAGCGUUGUCCGGAUUUAUUGGACGUAAAGCGAGCGCAGGUGGUUUAUUAAGUCUGGUGUAAAAGGCAGUGGCUCAACCAUUGUAUGCAUUGGAAACUGGUAGACUUGAGUGCAGGAGAGGAGAGUGGAAUUCCAUGUGUAGCGGUGAAAUGCGUAGAUAUAUGGAGGAACACCGGUGGCGAAAGCGGCUCUCUGGCCUGUAACUGACACUGAGGCUCGAAAGCGUGGGGAGCAAACAGG